GGGAACUGAAACAUCUAAGUACCCAGAGGAAAGGAAAUCAACCGAGACUCCGUGAGUAGCGGCGAGCGAAAGCGGAUUGCGACUUAAGUCAGUGAACGCGUUGGAAAGCGCGGCCAAAGAAGGUGAUAGCCCUGUAGUUGGAUGAUGUCGCUCAGCCCUAGAGUAGCGUCGGUGUCGUGAAACCCGGCGUGAACAUGGGGGGUCCACCCUCCAAGGCUAAGUACUACUUGACGACCGAUAGUUAACCAGUAAGGCGACUGAAUGAUGAAAACUACCCCUGCUAGGGGUGUGAAAGAGUAGCUGAAACCAUGUGCUUACACAGCGGUCAGAGCCCUUCGGGGUGAUGGCGUGCCUUUUGCAUAAUGACCCGGCGAGUUACUCUCAUUGGCGAGGUUAAGG
RNAcentral lists this ribosomal RNA (399 nucleotides) under Azadinium spinosum. RNAcentral's name for it is "partial Bacterial large subunit ribosomal RNA". It matches the Rfam family "Bacterial large subunit ribosomal RNA", at positions 188 to 651 of the family's 2925-position model. Lineage: Eukaryota; Dinophyceae; Gonyaulacales; Amphidomataceae. The record is from RNAcentral.